Molecule: long non-coding RNA, 2157 nt
Filed under: Equus caballus (horse)
Lineage: Eukaryota; Metazoa; Chordata; Mammalia; Perissodactyla; Equidae
Description: lncRNA (ENSECAG00000043463.2)
Source: RNAcentral
GUGUAAAUGCCCUUAAGUCGACUGCGCUUUAGAAUCACUUGGGGAUCAUCUAAAAAAUACCAAUUCCUGGGGCCAACCCCUAGGGAGUCUGAUUUCACUGGUCUGAGGCCACGCCUCCUCAUCCACACCGUUUAAAAAGCUUCCCAAGCCAGGCAACAACUGAGCUGAGCGUCUGGACCUGAACCGCCCUGCAGGGAAAGGCAACGGAAGCUCUUGCUAGGGUAGCAACUAUGAGCUCAAAUCCACCGUCCCCCUCCCCGACUUCAGGACUCCAGGUUGUGGUUCGAACCCGCCUUUGGCAGCUCCUUCAAACGGGAACCAGCCCCAUCACUUUGUAACGUUCGGCGUUGGCGCAGGGGUCUGCAGCUUCCGCCUGCCCGAAACUUGGUGCUGGCUGACCCUGAAGGCGGCCCUGUGAGAGGGAGGCAAGAGAGCGAGCUGAUCCGGGCACCGCACAGGCGGAGGCCGAGACUCUGUCAGGAGUGGAGUGGAAAUAUCACAGAAGGAAAAGUACCCAAGAGCAGAAACCCCAUUCUUCCCCUCCUGGAGGCCGCAGUGAAGAGGAAACACUGGGCUGUAAAGCAGAAAGUAAGAUGGGAAGGGGGUACGGGAGCCCAUUCCAUCUACUGACUUCCCGCUGCUUCCUAAAAUGCAUCCCUCGGGCCAGGAAGGCUUGUGUCCUCAUGGUUUUCUGCACCAUCACCUGCUCAACAAACAAGUAUUGAGGCCCUAUCUAUGCUGGGUACUCUGCUAGAUACCAGGGACAUAGCAAUGGUAUUAAUAUUAUCCUAAAUUAUUAUUAUAACGAUGAUGAUGGCUGUUAUUUACUGGGAGCUCACUUGUGCCAGGCAGGAUUCUAAGCACUUUGCGCCUAUUAUUUUCCCCAUUUUACAGAUGAGAAAAUAAGGCACCUACCAACCUGUGAAGAACUUCUGGUCUAGAAGUGAGGUGAUUAGUGUUUUAAACGUGGCUGUGACAACCCACACCAAGGAUGACUAACCUUGACUUUGCUUUGGGAGACAGAGUCACAAAAGGGGGCCUGUUGUUGGGACCCACCUGGGAAAUUUAAAUCAAGGUCCAUCAGCAGAAACUCCCAGAAGGUGCCUGUGAUUGGUUGGUAAGGUUGGGGAUCUGGCCCAGCAUUCCAGGGCCAGCUCCUGGCAAAUGGCGCCUGGUUAUGUGGAAGCUAGAGCUCCCCUGGGAGGGAGCUGAGCCAGGCUAGCCCUGUUAGGUUGGUCAUCCGCGGCACCUCAUCUUUCUAAAAUUGGCGAGACCCUAGAGGGAGAGAAUAGAGAAGACAGAGAGCCUAUCAGUACUGGGAGCAGAGUUGAGCAGGGGAGGGGUGGGCCCAUGCCAGGCACCCUUGCACUCUGCCAUCUGGAAGGGCAUAGAGAGGAUAACAUGGCCCCUGCCUGGGAUCCCACUGUGGAGACUCAGGGUCAGGUAGGAAAAAAACUCCCCUGAGUGGGAACAAGAUGCUUCCCAGUGUGAAUGUGAAUCAGAGACCUGGGUGGGUGGGGUGUUGAGCCUGAUUCUGGGGGUGAAGAAGGAGCGGGGGUAGGCUCAGGCUGGGGAAUCUGUCCACCCUGUUGGCCAAGCUGACCCGUGCUGCUUCUGCCUUUAGUCACACACAGUGGGUCACCCCCAGGUCAUCACCAGCCUCGCUUCCUCACACUCAGAGGACCAAGGCACUGGCUGUACGACUACAAGAGGACAACCAGCAUUUUGAGCCACCUACAUGGCAUCGGGUUCUGAGCAGGGCAGCAUACAGAGCCCACCAGUGUUCACUUAUAGAAAUAACCUUCUAGAGUGCCCAGCCCCAGAAAACAGUGCCAAAGCCCCAUCUGACUUUUAUCUGGUUUGCACCCUGGGCAAGGAUUUUCAGAACGAAUUGGUCACACUUCUCAAGAGUCUGUAAUCAUUUUACUAGCAGAAAUGGACAUAGCAGGGUCCAAAUGAUGGAGACAGCAAGUCCUCUUGGAUCGGGUGUUCUAGGAAGAACCGUUUAUGUGGCCUCAUACAGGUAUGCAGAUAAAUGCACACAAGCACCCACUGUUCCAGAGGAAGGGUAUAAUAGAACAUUUUGGUAGAUGAAUCUUAAAGAUUGUGGUGAAGAGGUGCACAAAUUUUUGAAAAGUCCAUGGAGCCUUCUGAAAG